This is a small nucleolar RNA of Cyclopterus lumpus (lumpfish), 84 nucleotides long. The record is from Ensembl. Lineage: Eukaryota; Metazoa; Chordata; Actinopteri; Perciformes; Cyclopteridae.
CUGAUACAAUGAUGAGAGCAUAGUUCAACUGACUUAACCAUGAAGAUUAUCUGCGCAGUCUUUCGCUCCUAUCUGAUGUAUCAC